CCUACGGGGUGGCAGCAGUGGGGAAUAUUGGACAAUGGGCGAAAGCCUGAUCCAGCCAUGCCGCGUGUGUGAAGAAGGCCUUCGGGUUGUAAAGCACUUUCAGUGGGGAAGAAAGCCUUGGGGCUAAUACCCUCGAGGAAGGACAUCACCCACAGAAGAAGCACCGGCUAACUCCGUGCCAGCAGCCGCGGUAAUACGGAGGGUGCGAGCGUUAAUCGGAAUUACUGGGCGUAAAGCGCGCGUAGGCGGUCUGAUAAGCCGGUUGUGAAAGCCCCGGGCUCAACCUGGGAACGGCAUCCGGAACUGUCAGGCUAGAGUGCAGGAGAGGAAGGUAGAAUUCCCGGUGUAGCGGUGAAAUGCGUAGAGAUCGGGAGGAAUACCAGUGGCGAAGGCGGCCUUCUGGACUGACACUGACGCUGAGGUGCGAAAGCGUGGGUAGCAAACAGGAUUAGAUACCCCAGUAGUC
Molecule: ribosomal RNA, 466 nt
Filed under: Vreelandella stevensii
Lineage: Bacteria; Pseudomonadati; Pseudomonadota; Gammaproteobacteria; Oceanospirillales; Halomonadaceae
Description: partial 16S ribosomal RNA
Rfam family: Bacterial small subunit ribosomal RNA
Source: RNAcentral